UUAAACUUUAAUUUUAAUUUUAAAAGUUAAACUAAUUUAUACUUAUAUAUAAAAUUUAUUAAAUAAUUUAUAAUUAAUAUAUAAAAUUAAUAUUAAAUUUAAAUUUAUAUUAAAUAAAAUUUAAAUAUUUUUAAAAAUUGUGCCAGCAAUUGCGGUUAUACAAUUAAUAUAAUUAACUUUAAACAAUUUAAUUAAAUUAAAAAUUUUAUUAAAUAAAACUAAUAUUUUAAGAUUAAAUUAAAAUAUUUAAAAUAUUUAAAAUUAUAAAAUAAUAUUUAAAAAUUUUUUAAAAAACUAGGAUUAGAUACCCUAUUAUUUAAACAAUUAUAAUAAUUAAAAUAUUAAAUGAUAAAACAUUAAAUUUAAAAAAUUUGACGGUAUUUAAAAUCUAGAGGAAUUUAUUUAAUAAUAGAUAAUACACUAAAAAAUAAACUUAAUUCAAUUAUUCUUAUAUACUUCUGUAUAGAUUAAAUUUUAAAAUUUUAAACUAAAAUUUUUAAAAAAACAAUUCAAGUCAAAGUAUAGAUUUAAUUAAGAUUAAACGAAUUACAUUAUAUUUAUAUUUAUAUAUUAAAUUUUUAAUAAAUUAUAUAAUUAGAAUUUAGAAAUAAAUUAAAAAAAUUAUUUUAAUUGAACAUAUAUUUUAAAUAUGUACAUAUCGCCCGUCAUUCUUUUCUAAGACAAGUCGUAACAAAGUAAAAAUACUGGAAAGUGUUUUUAGAAAAUU
This 727-nucleotide non-coding RNA is filed under the name Microctonus brassicae. The record is from RNAcentral. Lineage: Eukaryota; Metazoa; Arthropoda; Insecta; Hymenoptera; Braconidae.